This 468-nucleotide ribosomal RNA is filed under the name uncultured bacterium. RNAcentral describes it as "partial 16S ribosomal RNA". It matches the Rfam family "Bacterial small subunit ribosomal RNA", at positions 28 to 507 of the family's 1533-position model. The record is from RNAcentral.
GACGAACGCUGGCGGCGUGCUUAACACAUGCAAGUCGAACGGAAAGGCCCUGCUUUUGUGGGGUGCUAGAGUGGCGAACGGGUGAGUAACACGUGAGUAACCUGCCCUUGACUUUGGGAUAACUUCAGGAAACUGGGGCUAAUACCGGAUAGGAGCUCCUGCUGCAUGGUGGGGGUUGGAAAGUUUCGGCGGUUGGGGAUGGACUUGCGGCUCAUCAGCUUGUUGGUGGGGUAGUGGCUUACCAAGGCUUUGACGGGUAGCCGGCCUGAGAGGGUGACCGGCCACAUUGGGACUGAGAUACGGCCCAGACUCCUACGGGAGGCAGCAGUGGGGAAUAUUGCACAAUGGGCGGAAGCCUGAUGCAGCAACGCCGCGUGCGGGAUGACGGCCUUCGGGUUGUAAACCGCUUUCGCCUGUGACGAAGCGUGAGUGACGGUAAUGGGUAAAGAAGCACCGGCUAACUACGUG